This 467-nucleotide ribosomal RNA is filed under the name uncultured bacterium. RNAcentral's name for it is "partial 16S ribosomal RNA". It matches the Rfam family "Bacterial small subunit ribosomal RNA", at positions 28 to 507 of the family's 1533-position model. The record is from RNAcentral.
GACGAACGCUGGCGGCGUGCUUAACACAUGCAAGUCGAACGGAAAGACCUGUUUCGGGGGGUACUCGAGUGGCGAACGGGCGAGUAACACGUAAGUAACCUGCCCUUGUCUUUGGCAUAACUACCGUCAACUGGGGCUAAUACCGGAUAGGAGCUCCUGCUGAAUGGUGGGGUUUGGAGAGUUUCGGCGGUUGGGGGUGGACUGGCGGCGUAUCAGCUUGUCGGUGGGGUAGUGGCUUACCAAGGCUUUAACGGGGAGCCGGCCUGUGAGGGUGACCGGCGACACUGGCACUGAGAGAAGGCCGAGACAGCGACGGUAGGCAGCAGUGGGGAAGAUUGCACAAGCGGUGCAGGCCGGAUGCAGCAGGUCCGUGUGUGGGAUGACGGUGUUCGGGUGGUAAACCGCAUGCGCUAGUGACGAAGCUUUGUGUGACGGUAGUGGGUAAAGAAGCACCGGCUAACUACGUG